This 484-nucleotide ribosomal RNA is filed under the name uncultured bacterium. Its description in RNAcentral is "partial 16S ribosomal RNA". It matches the Rfam family "Bacterial small subunit ribosomal RNA", at positions 30 to 507 of the family's 1533-position model. The record is from RNAcentral.
AUUGAACGCUGGCGGCAUGCCUAACACAUGCAAGUCGAGCGGUUGAGGGGAGCUUUCUCCUGUUUUCAGCUUCGGACGGGUGUGUAAUUCCUAUGAAUCUGCCUGUUAUUUUUGUAUAACGUCCGUAAACGGGCGCUAAUACCGCAUACGUCCUGAGUUUGAAAGUUGGGGUUCUUCGGACCUCACGCUUUCUGCUUAGCCUAGGUCGGAUUAGCUAGUUGGUGUGGUAAAGGCCUACCAAGGCGACGAUCCGUAACUGGUCUGAGAGGAUGAUCAGUCAAACUGGAACUGAGAAACGGACCAGAGUACUACGGGAGGCAGCAGUGGGGAAUAUUGGACAAUGGGCGAAAGGAUGAUACAGGAAAGCCGAGUGUGUGAAGAAGGUCUUAGGAUUGUAAAGAAAUGUAAGGUGGGAGGAAGGGAAGUAAGAUAAAAAAAAGAUGUAAUGACGUUACCAAAAGAAAAAGCACCGGCUAACUACGUG